GCAAGCUCAGUAAGGGCGGAUGGUGGAUGCCCUGGCAGCUGAAGGCGACGAAAGACGCGGCAGACUGCGAUAAGCCACGGGGAGCCGUCGAGCAGGCAUUGAUCCGUGGAUCUCUGAAUGGGGUAACCCACCCGACGGAAGGUCGGGUAUCUGGAGGCCAAUCCAUAACUUCCAGAAGCGAACCUGGGGAAGUGAAGCAUCUCAGUACCCAGAGGAAGAGAAAUCAAUCAACGCAGUGUCAUCGCUUAAGUGCUUUUUGAUUAAGCACUUGAGUGAUGGCAUUGGAGAUUCCCUUAGUAGCGGCGAGCGAACCGGGAAAAGCCCAAACCGUGCUAAUUUAUUAGCACGGGGUUGUAGCCUAGUCUGACUAGAGUAUAUCUAGCAGGUUAAACGCGAGCUUUAGCCGAACGGCUAGCAAAGCCACUGGAACGAGCGACCACAGAGGGUGACAGUCCCGUAGGCGAAAAGGCGAGCGACUCUGAAGGCUAGUGCUGAGUAACACUGGACUCUUGAAAUCCGGUGUGAACCCAGGAGGACCACCUUCUAAGGCUAAAUACUCACAGCUGACCGAUAGGGAACUAGUACCGCAAGGGAAAGGUGAAAAGAACCCCGGGAGGGGAGUGAAAUAGAGCCUGAAACCAUCCGCUCACAGACAGUCGGAGGGUACUAUUGCCAUCUUUCAGGCAUCGCAAGAUGUCUGAACGGCAAUGGCCUGACGGCAUGCCUUUUGCAGUAUGAUCCUGCGAGCUACGGUGCGUGGCAAGGCUAAGUCUCGUGUGUGGGACGCAGCCGAAGCGAAAGCAAGUCCGAAGAGGGCACUAAUAAGUCACGUGCUGUAGGCCCGAAUGCCGAGCGAUCAACCCAUGAGCAGGCUGAAGCCGAGGUAAAACUCGGUCGAGGGCCGAACGCAUAACCAAGGAAAAGGUUCGUGAUGACUUGUGGGUAGCGGUGAAAAGCCAGACGGGCCUCGGGUAUAGCUGGUUCUCCCCGAAAUAGUUUUGGGACUAGCCUCGGGAAUUGAACUCGUUGGGGGUAGAGCACUGAAUGGAUGCGGGGCAACCCUCUUCCAAUCAAACUCCGAAUACCAACGACGGAUCCCCGGGAGUCAGACGGUGGGGGAUAACCUUCAUCGUCAAAAGGGAAACGACCCAGAUCAUCGGUUAAGGCCCCAAAAUCCGUGCUAAGUGGUAAAGGAUGUGUUUUUCCUUAAACAGCUGGGAGGUUGGCUUAGAAGCAGCCACCCUUUAAAGAGUGCGUAAUAGCUCACCAGUCGAGGGAAGAUGCGCCGAAAAUGUAACGGGGCUCAAGCACGGUGCCGAAGCCAUGAGAGAGUUGCUGCUGCGUGCAGCGACUACGGUAGGGGAGCUUUCUGCCAUAGGCCGAAGCAGUCUCGAGAGGGACUGUGGACGAAGCAGAAGUGAGAAUGCAGGAUUGAGUAGCGCGAGUUGAGCGAGAAACUCAACCACCGAUUGCCUGAGGUUUCCUGGGGAAGGCUCAUCCACCCAGGGUUAGGCGGCCCUAAGUCGAACCCGAAAGGGGUAGGCGAUGGACAGCCGGUUAAUAUUCCGGCCCCUCUUUCUGCCGUUGAUUAUGGGGGGACGCAGCAGGCUCUUUCAGCCGGGUGACGGUCGUCCCGGUCCGGGCGGCGAGGCGUCCGUGCGUAGGCAAAUCCGCGCGCGGGUUAAGUCGAGCCGCAGGGGGAAGCGCUACGGCGCCGAAGGAAGACGAGUCAGCUGCCGAGAAAAUCCUCUACAGAGUCAGAGAGAGUCCGUACCGCAAACUAACACAGGUAGGCAAGGCGAGUAGCCUAAGGUGGGCGAGAUAACCCUCGUUGAGGAACUCGGCAAAAUAUCUCCGUAAGUUCGCGAGAAGGAGAGCCCCGUUAGGGCCGCAAGGUCCGAGGGGGCCGCAGAGAGCAGGCUGGGGAGACUGUUUAGUAAAAACACAGGACCCUGCUAACUCGUAUAAGAGGACGUAUAGGGUCUGAGACCUGGCCACUGCUGGAAGGUCAAGGGGAGGGGUUCACGCCUCGAACUGAAGCCCCAGCGAAGGCCGGCCGUAACUAUAAACCAGACCGUUGUAGUUACGUUAAUAAACCUGACUAUAUGCGGGAAACUCCGGUGCAUCCGGCGGUACUUGUGCUUGAAUAAAUAGCACAGUAACAAAACGACCGGUGCGGACAAUCCGCAGGAAAGGCCCAGCCCGUGCCAAUGAGGAGGUAAGAUAAUGUUUAAUGCAAACAAAGUCUCUCCUCAGAUAGGAUGGUAUCUCGCGGGGUUUACGGACGGCGAAGGAAGUUUCAACGUCGUCUUCAGACCACGUGAUGACUAUCAUCUUCCAUGGAAAGUCUCUCUUUGCUUUAACAUCUCGCAGCGAGACAGAGUCAUCUUGGCGCUCUUCAAGCGGCACUUAGAGUGCGGCACGAUGAGACAACGCGAAGAUGGCAUCUGGUACUAUGAAGUGAAUAACUUCGAUGCGAUUCUGGAGAACGUCAUUCCGUUUUUUGAGCGCUUCAAUUUUUUGUCAGCGAAGAAAAAACGGGAUUUCGCAAAGUUCUGCCAGAUCGCAGAGCUGCUAAAGCAAGGAGAACAUCUUCAUCAAGACGGAAUCAAGAAAAUUUUGGAAAUCCGUCGAGAGAUGAAUGAUGGUGGUAAUCGUCGAUACAGCGAAACAGAAAUCAUGGCACGGUUUAGGGAAUCCUCAGAGACCAUACGUCGGGCGUCUGAACAAGACGAUGAUAUGGUCCGGUCUCCAUAGCGAUAUGGAGGACUCGCAAGAGUCGCAACUGCGAAGAAUGCAGAUUGCAACGUAGACAAACGGUCCUAAGGUAGCGAAAUUCCUUGUCGGGUAAGUUCCGACGCGCAUGAAUGGUAUAACUAUCCCAGCGCUGUCUUAACGAGGGACUCGGUGAAAUAGAAGCACUGGUGAAAACGCCAGUGACCCCUGGCAGGACGGAAAGACCCCGUGGAGCUUUACUGGAAUUUGGCAUUGUGUUUUGACGUUCGCUGUGUAGGAUAGGUGGGAGCCUAUGAGGCCCAGGCGCUAGCUUGGGCGGAGGCAAUCUUGAAAUACCACCCUCCGUACGUUGCAACUCUAACUCGAACCCGAUAAGGCGGGGCGAGGACCGUGCUAGAUGGACAGUUUAACUGGGGCGGUUGCCUCCCAAAGAGUAACGGAGGCGCGCAAAGGUCAGCUCAGGCGGGUUAGCGAUCCGCUGUGGAGUGUAUGGGCAUAAGCUGGCUUCACUGUGACCCCGACAGGGGGAACAGAUGCGAAAGCAGGCCCAAGUGACCCGGUCGAUCUGCGUGGAAAGGCGAUCGAUCAUCGGAUAAAAGUUACCCCGGGGAUAACAGGCUAGUUUCGCCCGAGAGUUCACAUCGACGGCGAAGUUCGGCACCUCGAUGUCGGCUCAUCUCAUCCUGGGGCUGAAGCAGGUCCCAAGGGUCCGUCUGUUCGCCGGUUAAAGAGGUACGCGAGCUGGGUUUAGACCGUCGCAAGACAGGUCGGUCCAUAUCCGCCAGGGGCGUAUGAGGCUUGAGGAGCACUCUCCUUAGUACGAGAGGACCAGGAGGGCUGGACCAAUGGUCGACCAGUUGUUCUGCCAAGAGCAUCGCUGGGUAGCUAAGUCCGGACCGGAUAAGCGCUGAAGGCAUCUAAGCGCGAAGCCCACUCCAAGAUGAGGCCUCACAGACGCCAGGAAGAUCACCUGGUUGAUAGGCGGCAGGUGGAAGCGCAGUAAUGCGUGCAGCCGAGCCGUACUAAUACGUCAAUUGUU
Molecule: ribosomal RNA, 3775 nt
Filed under: Candidatus Acetothermia bacterium
Lineage: Bacteria; Candidatus Bipolaricaulota
Description: 23S ribosomal RNA
Rfam family: Bacterial large subunit ribosomal RNA
Source: RNAcentral